CCUACGGGUGGCAGCAGUGAGGAAUAUUGGUCAAUGGGCGGAAGCCUGAACCAGCCAAGUAGCGUGCAGGAUGACGGCCCUACGGGUUGUAAACUGCUUUUAUACGGGAAUAACGCGCCUUACGUGUAGGUCUUUGCAUGUACCGUAUGAAUAAGCACCGGCUAAUUCCGUGCCAGCAGCCGCGGUAAUACGGAAGGUACGGGCGUUAUCCGGAUUUAUUGGGUUUAAAGGGAGCGUAGGCUGUAUGUUAAGCGUGCUGUGAAAUGUCAGGGCUCAACCCGGGCCUUGCAGCGCGAACUGGCGUGCUUGAGUCUGCGGAAGGCAGGCGGAAUGCGUGGUGUAGCGGUGAAAUGCUUAGAUAUGACGAAGAACCCCGAUUGCGAAGGCAGCUUGCUGCGGCGGAACUGACGCUGAUGCUCGAAAGCGCGGGUAUCGAACAGGAUUAGAUACCCGUGUAGUC
This 460-nucleotide ribosomal RNA is filed under the name uncultured bacterium. RNAcentral's name for it is "partial 16S ribosomal RNA". It matches the Rfam family "Bacterial small subunit ribosomal RNA", at positions 338 to 795 of the family's 1533-position model. The record is from RNAcentral.